UGAUGGAGCCGCACAAACCGGAGCGA
This 26-nucleotide non-coding RNA is filed under the name Mus musculus (house mouse). Lineage: Eukaryota; Metazoa; Chordata; Mammalia; Rodentia; Muridae. The record is from RNAcentral.